AAAAAUUUAUAAUUUUUUAAAGUUUUAAUUUGAUUAAGUUACGAAACUUUUUCUCUCAAGAUAGAAAGUGUUUCUAACUGAGUGGCUUGUUUUUCGUUCAAGAAAAAAUAUCACUGGUAAGAAGAAGAAGCAGAUGCCUCUCGUCGCUCAAGAAGGACAAAGUACAGCUUCAUUUUUGUUUUGAAUUUGGGAUGAGUUUCACCUAUUCUCUCGCGGUUUUGGAUGAGAACUACUUCAACCUCUGAUUCUGGCGAUAAUGUGUGUUGUAGUGCGGAGGAGGUUGCAAUACGCAUCAUUGGGGCCAAUGAGAAAGAGAGUCGUUCAUCGCGACAUCGUUGAGGUGCCACAGUGGGGAUCCAAGCUGUGAGGAGGCACACAAUAGUAUGCAUUUGUGUGCCAUCGGAGCGUAUCCUUGUUCUUGUUGCGACCAAUAGGCCGUUUGACCUGGAUGAAGCAAUAAUGAGGAGAUUUGAAAGGAGAAUAAUGGUGGGGGUGCCAAGCGCGGAGAACAGCGAAAAAUUUUUUAGGACUCUUUUGCGAAAAGAAAAGGUGGACAAGAAAUUUGAUUUUAAGGAACUCGCAACUAUGACAGAAGGAUACAACGGAAGUAAUCUCAAGAACUUGUGUACAACUGCUGCUUACAGACCUGUUAGAGAGUUAAUUCAGCAAGAGAGAAUAAAAAUGAUGGAGAAAAGGCAGAAAGGUGUUGAAGAGCAGAAUAACAAUGCAGGAAAUACCUAAGAUGGUAUGGAAGCAAAAGAGGAAGUUAAGCAGGAAAAAGUAAUUUCCCUUAGACCUCUGAACAUGCAAGACUUCAAAGAGGCUAGGAGUCAGGUCUGUUGCUUACACAUGUUCACUCUGGAUUUUCUAAACCUGCACUUCUUUAUCUGGAGUCUCGCGAACCCAACAUAUCAUACAUGACCUUAGGAGUGCACGAAUAUGUUCUGUUUUUUGCUUGGUUGCUUCUUGGCAAAGAGGUCAAGAGUAAAAAAAGAAAGAUGUUUGCAGAAGAAGUUAUGAACUUUGUUGAGCCACAAGGUAUCUGGUCAAAGAAGUGUUUGUAAUAUCAAGUACCGCAUUAGAAGGAUGUUAUUUAAUUUUUCAUUAUGUUUAUUUUUCUUAUUUAAAACAAAUAACAUUGUAAUUGUUAAUUUUAACUUUUACACUUUGUCAUA
Vigna unguiculata (cowpea) is the source of this 1175-nucleotide long non-coding RNA. NCBI's taxonomy places the organism in Eukaryota, Viridiplantae, Streptophyta, Magnoliopsida, Fabales, Fabaceae. The record is from RefSeq and is a predicted model, not a curated record.